RNAcentral lists this ribosomal RNA (851 nucleotides) under uncultured bacterium. RNAcentral's name for it is "bacterial SSU rRNA". It matches the Rfam family "Bacterial small subunit ribosomal RNA", at positions 54 to 901 of the family's 1533-position model. The record is from RNAcentral.
CCUGCAGUCGACGGCAGCACGGGGGCAACCCUGGUGGCGAGUGGCGAACGGGUGAGUAAUACAUCGGAACGUGUCCUAUCGUGGGGGAUAACUAGUCGAAAGAUUAGCUAAUACCGCAUGAGAUCGAGAGAUGAAAGCAGGGGACCGCAAGGCCUUGCGCGAUUGGAGCGGCCGAUGUCGGAUUAGCUAGUUGGCGGGGUAAAAGCCCACCAAGGCGACGAUCCGUAGCUGGUUUGAGAGAACGACCAGCCACACUGGGACUGAGACACGGCCCAGACUCCUACGGGAGGCAGCAGUGGGGAAUUUUGGACAAUGGGGGCAACCCUGAUCCAGCCAUGCCGCGUGUGUGAAGAAGGCCUUCGGGUUGUAAAGCACUUUCGGACGGAACGAAAUCGCGCGGGUGAAUAUCCCGCGUGGAUGACGGUACUGUAAGAAGAAGCACCGGCUAACUACGUGCCAGCAGCCGCGGUAAUACGUAGGGUGCGAGCGUUAAUCGGAAUUACUGGGCGUAAAGCGUGCGCAGGCGGCUUCGCAAGUCAGACGUGAAAGCCCCGGGCUUAACCUGGGAAUGGCGUUUGAAACUACGGAGCUGGAGUAUGGCAGAGGGGGGUGGAAUUCCACGUGUAGCGGUGAAAUGCGUAGAUAUGUGGAGGAACACCGAUGGCGAAGGCAGCCCCCUGGGCCAAUACUGACGCUCAUGCACGUAAGCGUGGGGAGCAAACAGGAUUANAUACCCUGGUAGUCCACGCCCUAAACUAUGUCAACUANUUGUUGGGGGAGUUAAAUCCCUUAGUAACGCAGCUAACGCGUGAAGUUGACCGCCUGGGGAGUACGGUCGCAAGAUUAAAACU